GAUGAACGCUAGCGGCAGGCUUAACACAUGCAAGUUGCGGGGCAGCAGUUCUUCGGAAGCUGGCGACCGGCGCACGGGUGCGUAACGCGUAUGCAACCUACCCUUUACAGGAGGAUAGCCCGAGGAAACUCGGAUUAAUACUCCAUAGUUUGAAUGAAUCGCAUGAUUUAUUUAAUAAAGUUCCGGCGGUAAAGGAUGGGCAUGCGUGACAUUAGGUAGUUGGAGAGGUAACGGCUCACCAAGCCUACGAUGUCUAGGGGUCCUGAGAGGGUUAUCCCCCACACUGGUACUGAGACACGGACCAGACUCCUACGGGAGGCAGCAGUGAGGAAUAUUGGUCAAUGGGCGCAAGCCUGAACCAGCCAUGCCGCGUGCAGGAAGACGGCCCUAUGGGUUGUAAACUGCUUUUANAUAGGAAGAAUUCCCUUACGUGUAAGGGGUUGACAGUACUAUAGGAAUAAGCACCGGNUAACUCCGUGCCAGCAGCCGCGGUUAAAGUAUCGUACG
Molecule: ribosomal RNA, 507 nt
Filed under: uncultured bacterium
Lineage: Bacteria
Description: bacterial SSU rRNA
Rfam family: Bacterial small subunit ribosomal RNA
Source: RNAcentral